This 28-nucleotide small RNA is filed under the name Bombyx mori (domestic silkworm). RNAcentral describes it as "piRNA piR-bmo-1325859". The record is from RNAcentral. Lineage: Eukaryota; Metazoa; Arthropoda; Insecta; Lepidoptera; Bombycidae.
GCCUAGGUACAAGAGUCGUGUGAUGGAC